CACGUAGGGUGCGAGCGUUGUCCGGAAUUAUUGGGCGUAAAGAGCUCGUAGGCGGUGUGUCACGUCGGCCGUGAAAACCUGCAGCUUAACUGUGGGCGUGCGGUCGAUACGGGCAUCACUGGAGUUCGGCAGGGGAGACUGGAAUUCCUGGUGUAGCGGUGGAAUGCGCAGAUAUCAGGAGGAACACCGGUGGCGAAGGCGGGUCUCUGGGCCGUUACUGACGCUGGAGGAGCGAAAGCGUGGGGAGCGAACAGG
This 255-nucleotide ribosomal RNA is filed under the name uncultured bacterium. RNAcentral describes it as "partial 16S ribosomal RNA". It matches the Rfam family "Bacterial small subunit ribosomal RNA", at positions 524 to 776 of the family's 1533-position model. The record is from RNAcentral.